UGGGGAAUAUUGGACAAUGGGCGCAAGCCUGAUCCAGCCAUGCCGCGUGAGUGAUGAAGGCCUUAGGGUUGUAAAGCUCUUUCGCCGGUGAAGAUAAUGACGGUAACCGGAGAAGAAGCCCCGGCUAACUUCGUGCCAGCAGCCGCGGUAAUACGAAGGGGGCUAGCGUUGUUCGGAAUUACUGGGCGUAAAGCGCACGUAGGCGGAUUGUUAAGUCGGGGGUGAAAUCCCAGGGCUCAACCCUGGAACUGCCUCCGAUACUGGCAUUCUUGAGUCCGAGAGAGGUGAGUGGAAUUCCGAGUGUAGAGGUGAAAUUCGUAGAUAUUCGGAAGAACACCAGUGGCGAAGGCGGCUCACUGGCUCGGAACUGACGCUGAGGUGCGAAAGCGUGGGGAGCAAACAGG
RNAcentral lists this ribosomal RNA (404 nucleotides) under uncultured bacterium. RNAcentral's name for it is "bacterial SSU rRNA". It matches the Rfam family "Bacterial small subunit ribosomal RNA", at positions 355 to 776 of the family's 1533-position model. The record is from RNAcentral.